AUUAUAUUCCAUUAUUAUCUGUUGCACUCAAAACAGUAACCAGAUUACAAUGAUGACAAUGAGAAAAGAUGAGUAGGAUGAUGCCAUUGGUCCCAGUUCCAACAUGGGAAGGCAUCUGCUGAACUUAGAGGGUUUGAAUAUUGGGUGGGGGAGGGUCCAGCCUCUUCAACUUGAGACCUAAUGCUCCUUUCAUUUAGUCCAUCACCUUUGUUUCUUGUUGGUACAAUGUCUUCUUCCUGCAUGAUCACUGCAGAGGAAAAGAAAGAGUGAUUGUAGGCUUUCAAUUCUUAAUACUCUGCAAAAGGAUAGUGUAGGACAAAAUCUGGACUAAGCUCAAAAACAAAAGUAUACCUGAAUGGAAGGAAGCAGCUCUUGAAGGCA
RNAcentral lists this long non-coding RNA (381 nucleotides) under Musa acuminata (dwarf banana). RNAcentral describes it as "long non-coding RNA (MACU_LNC003880)". The record is from RNAcentral. Lineage: Eukaryota; Viridiplantae; Streptophyta; Magnoliopsida; Zingiberales; Musaceae.